RNAcentral lists this ribosomal RNA (492 nucleotides) under uncultured bacterium. RNAcentral describes it as "partial 16S ribosomal RNA". It matches the Rfam family "Bacterial small subunit ribosomal RNA", at positions 29 to 507 of the family's 1533-position model. The record is from RNAcentral.
AGUGAACGCUGGCGGUAGGCCUAACACAUGCAAGUCGAACGGCAGCACAGUAAGAGCUUGCUCUUACGGGUGGCGAGUGGCGGACGGGUGAGGAAUACAUCGGAAUCUACUUUUUCGGGGGGGAUAACGUAGGGAAACUUAAGCUAAUACCGCAUACGACCUACGGGUGAAAGCAGGGGAUCUUCUGACCUUGCGCGAUUGAAUGAGCCGAUGUCGGAUUAGCUAGUUGGCGGGGUAAAGGCCCACCAAGGCGACGAUCCGUAGCUGGUCUGAGAGGAUGAUCAGCCACACUGGAACUGAGACACGGUCCAUACUCCUACGGGAGGCAGCAGUGGGGAAUAUUGGACAAUGGGCGCAAGCCUGAUCCAGCCAUACCGCGUGGGUGAAGAAGGCCUUCGGGUUGUAAAGCCCUUUUGUUGGGAAAGAAAAGCAGCAGGUUAAUACCCCGCUGUUCUGACGGUACCCAAAGAAUAAGCACCGGCUAACUUCGUG